AACGAACGCUGGCGGCAGGCUUAACACAUGCAAGUCGAACGCUCGACCUUCGGGUCGGGAGUGGCAGACGGGUGAGUAACGCGUGGGAACGUACCCUUCGGUUCGGAAUAACCCAGGGAAACUUGGGCUAAUACCGGAUACGUCCUGGCCUGGAGACAGGGUGGGAGAAAGGUUUACUGCCGAAGGAUCGGCCCGCGUCGGAUUAGCUAGUUGGUGGGGUAACGGCCCACCAAGGCGACGAUCCGUAGCUGGUCUGAGAGGAUGAUCAGCCACACUGGGACUGAGACACGGCCCAGACUCCUACGGGAGGCAGCAGUGGGGAAUAUUGGACAAUGGGCGAAAGCCUGAUCCAGCCAUGCCGCGUGAGUGAAGAAGGCCUUAGGGUUGUAAAGCACUUUCAGUA
RNAcentral lists this ribosomal RNA (403 nucleotides) under uncultured bacterium. RNAcentral describes it as "bacterial SSU rRNA". It matches the Rfam family "Bacterial small subunit ribosomal RNA", at positions 29 to 441 of the family's 1533-position model. The record is from RNAcentral.